AUUGAACGCUGGCGGCAGGCCUAACACAUGCAAGUCGAGCGGAUGAAGGGAGCUUGCUCCUGGAUUCAGCGGUGGACGGGUGAGUAAUGCCUAGGAAUCUGCCUGGUAGUGGGGGAUAACGUCCGGAAACGGGCGCUAAUACCGCAUACGUCCUGAGGGAGAAAGUGGGGGAUCUUCGGACCUCACGCUAUCAGAUGAGCCUAGGUCGGAUUAGCUAGUUGGUGGGGUAAAGGCCUACCAAGGCGACGAUCCGUAACUGGUCUGAGAGGAUGAUCAGUCACACUGGAACUGAGACACGGUCCAGACUCCUACGGGAGGCAGCAGUGGGGAAUAUUGGACAAUGGGCGAAAGCCUGAUCCAGCCAUGCCGCGUGUGUGAAGAAGGUCUUCGGAUUGUAAAGCACUUUAAGUUGGGAGGAAGGGCAGUAAGUUAAUACCUUGCUGUUUUGACGGUACCAACAGAAUAAGCACCGGCUAACUUCGUG
Molecule: ribosomal RNA, 484 nt
Filed under: uncultured bacterium
Lineage: Bacteria
Description: partial 16S ribosomal RNA
Rfam family: Bacterial small subunit ribosomal RNA
Source: RNAcentral